This 384-nucleotide long non-coding RNA is filed under the name Androctonus crassicauda. Lineage: Eukaryota; Metazoa; Arthropoda; Arachnida; Scorpiones; Buthidae. The record is from RNAcentral.
GUAAAAUAUAUUGUAAAAUUUCAGUUACCUAACCUAGAUUUGUGACGACAAUUUUUAUUGAAAGUUUAAUGUCUUUUUCCUAUUGCUGAGUCUAUGGAUUAUGGAUUUCCAUAGCUAUGUCAUUAGCAUAGUUAUUUUCAUGUCACAACUGUCACAUAUUUUUAUAGCUUCUUGUUUGACUUUACUGAUUUUUUUAUAUUGCACUGAGUAUGUACCAAAGCAAUGCCUUGGAAUUAAGAUUAUUGCCAAUGGUACUGCAGUCACAAGGGCAUUAAAUAGAAUGAGAGAGAGAGAAUUUUUACACCAUCAAAAGACAGACACCUCAAAUAAGACAAUCAAGACAGCACUCAAGAUAGCUAUAUUCUCAUCCUUGUUGUUUCAAAA